RNAcentral lists this non-coding RNA (343 nucleotides) under uncultured Sporomusa sp. The record is from RNAcentral. Lineage: Bacteria; Bacillati; Bacillota; Negativicutes; Selenomonadales; Sporomusaceae.
ACUUAAUAUGACAGUAUAGGUGCCUGCGAGGCUUAAUAGAUAAGCCGGUGCAAUACCGGCGCGGUCCCGCCACUGUAAUGGGGAGCAAACUCAAAAAAAAUGUCACUGAGACUAGUAGUCUACCAAGUCAAAAGCCGUAGGAUGAAUUACGCGAGAUUUUUUGUCCAGCAAGGCGGAGGAGCCGCGCAUAUCGGACAUAUGUAAGGUGACGACAACGAAGCUGGGCGGAAAAGCUCGUGAUAAGAACACUGCGGAUUUGGCUUGGUAGACUACUAGGUCUUGGGAAGGCCUGAGCCAGCGAUGAUCCAGAGCCAGGAGAACUGCCUAUAUGAUAAUCACCGUU